GCUAAAGGCUAAAUAAGCAAGAUGAUAAAAAAAAAACAAUAAUAAUAAUAAUAAAUAAAUAAAAUAAUAAGAAUAGACAACAAAGAUAGAAUAAUACUACAUGAAAACAUGAAGUCGAUUUAUUUAAAGUUAGCAGACCAGAUGAAUGGUCAAUAUGAGAAAUGAGAAAUGUAGUUCUUAGAUUAUAUUUAAUCUGAGGCAAUGUAAGUGGGCGUAAUUUAAUAUCUCUUCAUUCUCAAUCAGACAAUGUACUGACUUCAAACUGAAUGAAUAUCAAAAGCUAAAAGAAAAACAAAAGACCCUUUCUAACUUGUAGAAGACUAUGGAUAAAAUAUAUUGGAUCUCCAAAAGUUCUUGUUUCUUUUCCCCAGUUUUACGGUGAAGCAUAAGAAGAGGUGUAUAAGGUUUGUGGCAUGAAUUAAACUCUCUGUACAAAACCCAACAGACUAAGGUAGGUUUCAGCUAAAACUUGUCUAAUAAGGGCACAAGAUUCAUCACCAACUUUUUUUCUCGCAAAAGUCAAAAGGGCUCUCUCCAAUUUGAUAUUAUAAACAUGAUAUGAUAAACAUCAACAAUCAGAACAUACCAAAUUAGUCAUACAAUUAACUUAAAAAAGAAAUUUUCAUUCUUAAACGUUUUUGGAAUGGAAGGUAUAGUUACUUUGCUACAGGGCAUAUGCGAGGUUUUAUUAUUUUGUGUACGAGUCCUGCUAUAUAUUGCGAAAGAAUUUUGCCGAAUUACGAUUGCGACGUAUAUCAAUACAUGAGAUUGGUAGAAUUAUAAAAUUGGCCCAUUAUAUCAAACACAUCGAAAAAAUAGUACCAACUAAAGUUAUCCACGUAACUCGCAAUAAAAAAGUCAACAUGUAAAGUCGCAAUAUAUAUCAUUUUCCUAAAGAGAGAAAAAAAUAACUACAAGACUUUUUAACACUUUUAGUACAAGUAGAUCGAAUGUGUCAAAAUGUAAAAAUCUAGCAACUAACCAUUGAGACCGAACAGCUUACAGAUAUAAAGAAACUAGACAUGAAGCUUUGAUAGCUAUAAGAUUAGUUUGAUGUGAAGAGGACAGUUAGUUUGAGCGUGAAAGGCUAAAUAAACAAAAUGAUAAAAAAAAACAAUAAUAAUAAUAAUAAAUAAAUAAAAUAAUAAGAAUAGACAACAAAGAUAGAAUAAUACUACAUGAAAACAUGAAGUCGAUUUAUUUAAAGUUAGCAGACCAGAUGAAUGGUCAAUAUGAGAAAUGAGAAAUGUAGUUCUUAGAUUAUAUUUAAUCUGAGGCAAUGUAAGUGGGCGUAAUUUAAUAUCUCUUCAUUCUCAAUUAGACAAUGUACUGACUUCAAACUGAAUGAAUAUCAAAAGCUAAAAGAAAAACAAAAGACCCUUUCUAACUUGUAGAAGACUAUGGCUAAAAUAUAUUGGAUCUCCAAAAGUUCUUGUUUCUUUUCCCCAGUUUUACGGUGAAGCAGAAGAAGAGGUGUGUAAGGUUUGUGGCAUGAAUUAAACUCUCUGUACAAAACCCAACAGACUAAGGUAGGUUUCAGCUAAAACUUGUCUAAUAAGGGCACAAGAUUCAUCACCAACUUUUUUUCUCGCAAAAGUCAAAAGGGCUCUCUCCAAUUUGAUAUGAUAAACAUGAUAUGAUAAACAUCAACAAUCAGAACAUACCAAAUUAGUCAUACAAUUAACUUAAAAAAGAAAUUUUCAUUCUUAAACGUUUUUGGAAUGGAAGGUAUAGUUACUUUGCUACAGGGCAUAUGCGAGGUUUUAUUAUUUUGUGUACGAGUCCUGCUAUAUAUUGCGAAAGAAUUUUGCCGAAUUACGAUUGCAACGUAUAUCAAUACAUGAGAUUGGUAGAAUUAUAAAAUUGCCCAUUAUAUCAAACACAUCGAAAAAAUAGUACCAACUAAAGUUAUCCACGUAACUCGCAAUAAAAAAGUCAACAUGUAAAGUCGCAAUAUAUAUCAUUUUCCUAAAGUGAGAAAAAAAUAACUACAAGACUUUUUAACACUUUUAGUACAAGUAGAUCGAAUGUGUCAAAAUGUAAAAAUCUAGCAACUGACCAUUGAGACCGAACAACAACUUACAGAUAUAAAGAAACUAGACAUGAAGCUUUGAUAGCUAUAAGAUUACAAAUUAAAA
Molecule: long non-coding RNA, 2138 nt
Filed under: Panax ginseng (ginseng)
Lineage: Eukaryota; Viridiplantae; Streptophyta; Magnoliopsida; Apiales; Araliaceae
Description: long non-coding RNA (PGIN_LNC004832)
Source: RNAcentral